UCAGCUUUCGACGGUAAGGUAUUGGCUUACCGUGGCAGUGACGGUUAACGGGGAAUUAGGGUUCAAUUCCGGAGAGGGAGCCUGAGAAACGGCUACCACAUCUAAGGAAGGCAGCAGGCGCGCAAAUUACCCAAUUCUAACAGCAUAAGAGAGGUAGUGACAAGAAAUAACAGUACAAGGCAGUUAAAAUGCUUUGUAAUUGGAAUGAUAGAAAUUUAAAUACUUUUUAAAGUAUCAAUUGGAGGGCAAGUCUGGUGCCAGCAGCCGCGGUAAUUCCAGCUCCAAUAGCGUAUAUUAAAAUUGUUGCAGUUAAAAAGCUCGUAGUUGAAUUUUUGCUAAAAAUAACCGGUCUGCUAUUAUUACUAAAAGUGGUAUCUUGGUGUGUUUUUAGCAAUAAUGUCCUUUGAAAUGUUUUUUACUUUAAUGUAAAAAGCAAUUUUCAGGAUUUUUACUUUGAGAAAAUUAGAGUGUUUCAAGCAGGCUAACGUUUUGA
This 493-nucleotide ribosomal RNA is filed under the name Hepatozoon sp. Its description in RNAcentral is "bacterial SSU rRNA". It matches the Rfam family "Eukaryotic small subunit ribosomal RNA", at positions 315 to 798 of the family's 1831-position model. Lineage: Eukaryota; Apicomplexa; Hepatozoidae. The record is from RNAcentral.